This 405-nucleotide ribosomal RNA is filed under the name uncultured bacterium. RNAcentral's name for it is "partial 16S ribosomal RNA". It matches the Rfam family "Bacterial small subunit ribosomal RNA", at positions 29 to 526 of the family's 1533-position model. The record is from RNAcentral.
AUUGAACGCUGGCGGCAGGCUUAACACAUGCAAGUCGAACGAGUGGCGGACGGGUGAUUAAUGCUUGGGAAUCUGGCUUAUGGAGGGGGAUAACGACGGGAAACUGUCGCUAAUACCGCGUACCAUAGGAUGAGCCCAAGUGGGAUUAGGUAGUUGGUGGGGUAAUGGCCUACCAAGCCGACGAUCUCUAGCUGGUCUGAGAGGAUGACAAGCCAAAGCGAGACUGAGACACGGCCCGGAAUCCGACGGGAGGCAGCAGUGGGGAAGAUGGCGCAAGGGGAGCAACCUGAAGCAGCCAAGCCGGGUGAAUGAAGAAGGCCUUCGGGUUGUAAAGUUCGUGCGGUGACGAAGCGUUAAUCACAGAAGAAGCACCGGCUAACACCGUGCGAGCAGCCGCGGUAAUAC